AGCGAACGCUGGCGGCAGGCUUAACACAUGCAAGUCGAGCGGGCAUAGCAAUAUGUCAGCGGCAGACGGGUGAGUAACGCGUGGGAACGUACCUUUUGGUUCGGAACAACACAGGGAAACUUGUGCUAAUACCGGAUAAGCCCUUACGGGGAAAGAUUUAUCGCCGAAAGAUCGGCCCGCGUCUGAUUAGCUAGUUGGUGAGGUAAUGGCUCACCAAGGCGACGAUCAGUAGCUGGUCUGAGAGGAUGAUCAGCCACAUUGGGACUGAGACACGGCCCAAACUCCUACGGGAGGCAGCAGUGGGGAAUAUUGGACAAUGGGCGCAAGCCUGAGCCAGCCAUGCCGCGUGAGUGAUGAAGGCCCUAGGGUUGUAAAGCUCUUUUGUGCGGGAAGAUAAUGACGGGACCGCAAGAAUAAGCCCCGGCUAACUUCGUGCCAGCCGCCGCAGUAA
Molecule: ribosomal RNA, 451 nt
Filed under: uncultured bacterium
Lineage: Bacteria
Description: partial 16S ribosomal RNA
Rfam family: Bacterial small subunit ribosomal RNA
Source: RNAcentral